Unclassified non-coding RNA from Callithrix jacchus (white-tufted-ear marmoset), 148 nucleotides. It matches the Rfam family "Metazoan signal recognition particle RNA". Rfam says of the family: The signal recognition particle (SRP) is a universally conserved ribonucleoprotein. It is involved in the co-translational targeting of proteins to membranes. The eukaryotic SRP consists of a 300-nucleotide 7S RNA and six proteins: SRPs 72, 68, 54, 19, 14, and 9. The record is from Ensembl. NCBI's taxonomy places the organism in Eukaryota, Metazoa, Chordata, Mammalia, Primates, Cebidae.
GCUGGGUGUGGUGGCGCAUGCCUGUAAUCCCAGCUACUCGGGAGGCAGAGAUGGGAGUAUUGCUUGAACCCGGGAGGUGGAGGUUGCAGUGAGCUGAGAUCAUGCCACUACACUCCAACCUGGGUGACAGAGUGAGAUUCCAUCUCAA